AAAUCAACUUUACAACGGCGUAAAGAGUGGUCGCAUGCUAUCCAAGUAGCUAAGAUUAAAAAGCAACUGAGCUGUCAUAAGCCAAAGAUGCGUCAUAAGGCCUCUUUUCAAAGAAAAUCUUAGACCAACGAUUAAUUGAAGCCACGAAAGCCAGGACCCAAACUGGGAUUAGAUACCCCACUAUGCCUGGCCCUAAAUCUUGAUGCUCGAUCUAACCGGAGCAUCCGCCCGAGAACUACGAGCACAAACGCUUAAAACUCUAAGGACUUGGCGGUGCUCCAAAUCCACCUAGAGGAGCCUGUUCUGUAAUCGAUGAUCCACGAUAUACCUGACCAUUCCUUGCCCAAAACAGCCUAUAUACCGCCGUCUCCAGCCCACCCUCCAUGAAGGUUCAACA
RNAcentral lists this ribosomal RNA (397 nucleotides) under Yuhina bakeri. RNAcentral's name for it is "partial 12S ribosomal RNA". It matches the Rfam family "Bacterial small subunit ribosomal RNA", at positions 606 to 1045 of the family's 1533-position model. The record is from RNAcentral. Lineage: Eukaryota; Metazoa; Chordata; Aves; Passeriformes; Timaliidae.